Molecule: long non-coding RNA, 523 nt
Organism: Ruditapes philippinarum (Manila clam)
Lineage: Eukaryota; Metazoa; Mollusca; Bivalvia; Venerida; Veneridae
Exons: 3
Source: RefSeq, a predicted model, not a curated record
GCAUUUAAAUGUAGCAUUCACGAGGAUAUGAUAAUCAAUAUGUGGUUUGCUUCGACAGAUAUACUUUUUAUUUUAUUUUCAGUCUCCGUGUCAGGAUAAUUGCAAGUAUGGCGAGGUUUGUGAAACGAAGGAGUCUGAUGUAGGCACUUGUGUUAUCAAAGAAUGCGUCAAUAUAACGAUUCCUGAAAACGGGCUUAUACUUGGAAAUCAGAGAGACAUUGGGAAAAGAAUACGGUAUAAAUGUAACGUAGGGUAUAUUGAACAAAAUGCUGAGGUUGGUACACUCGCUGAAUGCCUUUAUACCGGAGAAUGGAGUACAUUCACUGAAUGCAUCCCCAGUAAGAUUUCCUACAUGUGGACCACGUGGACAGAAUGGAGUACAUGCAGUGUUACAUGUGGCGGAGGUGUUAAAAGUAGAUCACGAACUUGCACAAUACCUACUGUACUGCUUAAUGGCGAGGAAGAGUGUGUGGAAAACAUGUACACUGGCGCAGGAGCAUCGUGUAACAAGGAAGGAUGCACU